RNAcentral lists this unclassified non-coding RNA (348 nucleotides) under soil metagenome. RNAcentral describes it as "partial contains 5.8S ribosomal RNA, internal transcribed spacer 2, and large subunit ribosomal RNA". The stretch from base 1 to 120 matches the Rfam family "5.8S ribosomal RNA", at positions 35 to 154 of the family's 154-position model. The record is from RNAcentral.
GAUGAAGAACGCAGCAAAAUGCGAUAAGUAAUGUGAAUUGCAGAAUUCAGUGAAUCAUCGAAUCUUUGAACGCACAUUGCGCCCGCUGGUAUUCCGGCGGGCAUGCCUGUUCGAGCGUCAUUUCAACCCUCAAGCCCCCGGGUUUGGUGUUGGGGAUCGGCUCUGCCCUUCUGGGCGGUGCCGCCCCCGAAAUACAUUGGCGGUCUCGCUGCAGCCUCUAUUGCGUAGUAGCUAACACCUCGCAACUGGAACGCGGCGCGGCCAUGCCGUAAAACCCCAACUUCUGAAUGUUGACCUCGGAUCAGGUAGGAAUACCCGCUGAACUUAAGCAUAUCAAUAAGCGGAGGA